ACUCUUGGACUUCUCUUUUUCAAGAUCGAUAAAAUCUUUCGCCCCUUUUACUAAAGUUUUCCGUGGCGGGGAUCAAUAAGAAGUUUUUACCUUUUCUAUAAUUUUUGAAUUUUGCCCUGGCUUUAAUU
RNAcentral lists this small nuclear RNA (128 nucleotides) under Larimichthys crocea (large yellow croaker). Its description in RNAcentral is "U5 spliceosomal RNA (ENSLCRG00005001799.1)". It matches the Rfam family "U5 spliceosomal RNA". Rfam says of the family: U5 RNA is a component of both types of known spliceosome. The precise function of this molecule is unknown, though it is known that the 5' loop is required for splice site selection and p220 binding, and that both the 3' stem-loop and the Sm site are important for Sm protein binding and cap methylation. The record is from RNAcentral. Lineage: Eukaryota; Metazoa; Chordata; Actinopteri; Sciaenidae.